Molecule: transfer RNA, 399 nt
Filed under: Micromonospora sediminimaris
Lineage: Bacteria; Bacillati; Actinomycetota; Actinomycetes; Micromonosporales; Micromonosporaceae
Description: transfer-messenger RNA
Rfam family: tRNA (bases 42-115)
Source: RNAcentral
GGGGCGCUGGGCGGAUGGGUUAACCUUGCUCGUCGCUACGCGGGGCUAUAGCUCAGUCGGUUAGAGCGCAGAGCUGAUAACUCUGAGGUCGCUGGUUCGAUUCCAGCUAGCCCCACCGCACAUGGUCCGACGGCACGUCGAGCGUGAGGGGCAGCCCCGAUGUUCAAGAAGCUGUUGAUCCUGGUCGGUGUCGUCGGCGUGGCCGCGGUGGUGGCCAAGAAGGUCAAGGAAGCCAACGACGAGCGCGCUCUCUGGCACGAGGCGACCACCUCGCCGGACCUGCGUUGACGCCGUCCGCUCCGACCUGCGGCCUCAGCGCCGUGACGGGGCCCUAGCUCAACUGGCAGAGCACUGCCUUUGCAAGGCAGGGGUUAGGGGUUCGAGUCCCCUGGGCUCCAC